UGGUAGACAGGCUCGGUUUAAAUGGCUGUUCCUGUUAAAUGGCUCACAAGGAAUAAGGGAGCUCUGACCGGACAAAGGCAGCCCACGCACCUGUGCUCUGGGCCCAUUCUUCAGCUCUGGGAGCAGAGACUCCGGCAUCCUGACUCAGGUUAUUCCUCCUGGGAGAAACAAGUUGACAUGUUUGAAGGUUACAGGCGCUGUGAAGUACUGAAGUGUCUAACCAGCGGCCAGUGAGGCCUGAAAUAAAGCCUGCCAAUAACCACAUGGACAAGCUCGAAAGUGUAUUUCCUGGUCCCACUUGAGCUUUGAGAGAUAACUGAAGCCCCAGUUGACAACUCUGUGAGAAUCCUAAGCCAGAACUACCCAGCUAAACUACUACAGAUUACUGAUCCUUCCCACAUCGAACUACUUGGUUUACAUCCUGGCCACUCCCUUUCCUAAGCAGCUUUCUGCUAAUGUGCACCUGGGAGGCAGCACUGAUGGCUCAAGUACUUGGGUCCCUGCCACCCAUGUGGGAGACUUGGAUGGAGUUUUUGGUUCCUGACUUUGGCCUGGUCUAGCCCUGGCUGGUGCAGCCAUAUGGGCAAUGAACAACAGACAGAAGAUGUCUCCCUCCAUCUUUCAAAUAAAGCGGAAAGACAGAAAGACAGAAAGAAAGAGAAAGAGAAAGAGAGAGAGAAAGAGAGAAAGAAGGGAGGAAGGAAGGAAGAAAGGAAGGAAGCCAGCACGGUGGCUCACUAGGCUAAUCCUCUGCCUGCAGCGCUGGUACCCUGGGUUCUAGUCCCGGUUGGGGCGCCAGAUUCUGUCCCAGUUGCUCCUCUUCCAGUCCAGCUCUCUGCUGUGGCCUGGGAAGGCAGUGGAGGAUGGCCCAAGUCCUUGGGCCCUGCACCCACAUGGGAGACCAGGAGGAAGCACCCGGCUCCUGGCUUUGGAUCGUUGCAGCGCGCUGGCUGUAGUGGCCAUUUGGGGGGUGAACCAAUGGAAGGAAGACCUUUCUCUCUCUCUCUCUCUCUCACUGUCUAACUCUGCCUGUCAAAGAGAGAGA
This is a non-coding RNA of Oryctolagus cuniculus (rabbit), 1045 nucleotides long. The record is from RefSeq and is a predicted model, not a curated record. Lineage: Eukaryota; Metazoa; Chordata; Mammalia; Lagomorpha; Leporidae.